AAUAACUCCACCAUCAGCACCCAAAGCUGAAAUUCUUUUUAAACUAUUCC
Molecule: transfer RNA, 50 nt
Filed under: Paradoxurus hermaphroditus (Asian palm civet)
Lineage: Eukaryota; Metazoa; Chordata; Mammalia; Carnivora; Viverridae
Description: tRNA-Pro
Source: RNAcentral